AACGGUAACAGGAAGCAGCUUGCUGCUUUGCUGACGAGUGGCGGACGGGUGAGUAAUGUCUGGGAAACUGCCUGAUGGAGGGGGAUAACUACUGGAAACGGUAGCUAAUACCGCAUAACGUCGCAAGACCAAAGAGGGGGACCUUCAGGCCUCUUGCCACCGGAUGUGCCCAGAUGGGAUUAGCUAGUAGGUGGGGUAACGGCUCACCUAGGCGACGAUCCCUAGCUGGUCUGAGAGGAUGACCAGCCACACUGGAACUGAGACACGGUCCAGACUCCUACGGGAGGCAGCAGUGGGGAAUAUUGCACAAUGGGCGCAAGCCUGAUGCAGCCAUGCCGCGUGUAUGAAGAAGGCCUUCGGGUUGUAAAGUACUUUCAGCGGGGAGGAAGGUGCUGAGGUUAAUAACCUCAGCAAUUGACGUUACCCGCAGAAGAAGCACCGGCUAACUCCGUGCCAGCAGCCGCGGUAAUACGGAGGGUGCAAGCGUUAAUCGGAAUUACUGGGCGUAAAGCGCACGCAGGCGGUCUGUCAAGUCGGAUGUGAAAUCCCCGGGCUCAACCUGGGAACUGCAUUCGAAACUGGCAGGCUAGAGUCUUGUAGAGGGGGGUAGAAUUCCAGGUGUAGCGGUGAAAUGCGUAGAGAUCUGGAGGAAUACCGGUGGCGAA
RNAcentral lists this ribosomal RNA (665 nucleotides) under uncultured Pseudomonadota bacterium. RNAcentral's name for it is "bacterial SSU rRNA". It matches the Rfam family "Bacterial small subunit ribosomal RNA", at positions 65 to 719 of the family's 1533-position model. Lineage: Bacteria; Pseudomonadati; Pseudomonadota. The record is from RNAcentral.